This 207-nucleotide long non-coding RNA is filed under the name Elaeis guineensis (African oil palm). Its description in RNAcentral is "long non-coding RNA (EGUI_LNC080426)". The record is from RNAcentral. Lineage: Eukaryota; Viridiplantae; Streptophyta; Magnoliopsida; Arecales; Arecaceae.
ACCAUGUGGUGGAGCAAUCUCAUCUCCAUGCUCAAAUCUUUGGCCUCAAUUUUCAUAAACCCCUCCACAUCCUCUCUUCCUAAGAUGGUCCUAAGCUCUAUUUCUUUUCUUGGAAGCUCAUCUAGGAGUCUACCUUCACGGGACACCCUUGACAAUUGACCUCAGAACUCUAUCAGUGAAAACUAGAUUAGAAUAAAACUCCUUGAC